This 1009-nucleotide ribosomal RNA is filed under the name marine sediment metagenome. RNAcentral's name for it is "bacterial LSU rRNA". It matches the Rfam family "Bacterial large subunit ribosomal RNA", at positions 1904 to 2925 of the family's 2925-position model. The record is from RNAcentral.
GCUCUGAAUUGAAGCCCAGGUAAACGGCGGCCGUAACUAUAACGGUCCUAAGGUAGCGAAAUUCCUUGUCGGGUAAGUUCCGACCUGCACGAAUGGCGUAACGACUUCCCCGCUGUCUCCAACAUAGACUCAGCGAAAUUGAAUUACCGGUCAAGAUGCCGGUUACCCGCGGUUAGACGGAAAGACCCCGUGCACCUUUACUACAGCUUCACACUGGCAUUAGGCCGAACAUGUGCAGGAUAGGUGGUGGGCUUUGAAACCGGGACGCCAGUCCCGGUGGAGCCUCCCUUGAGAUACCACCCUUGUUCUGCUUGAUGUCUAACCGCGGUCCGUUAUCCGGAUCCGGGACCCUGUGUGGCGGGUAGUUUGACUGGGGCGGUCGCCUCCUAAAUCGUAACGGAGGCGCGCGAAGGUUGGCUCAGAGCGGUCGGAAAUCGCUCGUUGAGUGCAAUGGCAGAAGCCAGCCUGACUGCGAGACUGACAAGUCGAGCAGAGUCGAAAGACGGCCAUAGUGAUCCGGUGGUCCCAAGUGGGAGGGCCAUCGCUCAACGGAUAAAAGGUACGCCGGGGAUAACAGGCUGAUACUGCCCAAGAGUCCAUAUCGACGGCAGUGUUUGGCACCUCGAUGUCGGCUCAUCUCAUCCUGGGGCUGGAGCAGGUCCCAAGGGUACGGCUGUUCGCCGUUUAAAGAGGUACGUGAGCUGGGUUUAGAACGUCGUGAGACAGUUCGGUCCCUAUCUGCCGUGGGUGUAGGAUACUUGAGAGGAGUUGCCCCUAGUACGAGAGGACCGGGGUGAACGAUCCACUGGUGGACCAGUUGUUAUGCCAAUAGCAGUGCUGGGUAGCUAUGAUCGGACAGGAUAACCGCUGAAGGCAUCUAAGCGGGAAGCCCCCCUCAAAACAAGGUAUCCCUGAGAGCCGAGAUAGACCAUCUCGUCGAUAGGCCAGAGAUGUAAGCGUGGUAACACGUUCAGUUGACUGGUACUAAUUGCUCGAUAGGCUUGAUUUG